RNAcentral lists this ribosomal RNA (824 nucleotides) under uncultured gamma proteobacterium hs2_55. Its description in RNAcentral is "bacterial SSU rRNA". It matches the Rfam family "Bacterial small subunit ribosomal RNA", at positions 647 to 1499 of the family's 1533-position model. Lineage: Bacteria; Pseudomonadati; Pseudomonadota; Gammaproteobacteria. The record is from RNAcentral.
GUUUGUCGGGGUUGGGUUUCCUUUUCAGUGAUCGCUGUUUUGGGAGGACCCCAGUGCGAGGCGCUACCUGGCUGUUCUGCACUGGGUCCGAAGCGUGGGUGCAACGGGUUAGGUACCCUGUUGUCCCGCCGUAACGUUGUCAACUAGUCGUUGGAGUCUUGACUCUUAGUGGCGCACUAACGCAUUAGGUUGACCGCCUGGGGAGUACGGCCGCAAGGUUCAAACUCAAAUGAAUUGACGGGGGCCCGUACAAGCGGUGGUGCAUGUGGUUUAAUUCGAAGCAACGCGAAGAACCUUACCAGGCCUUGACAUCCAAUGUACUUUCUAGAGAUAGAUUGGUGCCUUCGGGAACAUUGAGACAGGUGCUGCAUGGCUGUCGUCAGCUCGUGUCGUGAGAUGUUGGGUUAAGUCCCGUAACGAGCGCAACCCUUGUCCUUAGUUACCAGCACGUAAUGGUGGGCACUCUAAGGAGACUGCCGGUGACAAACCGGAGGAAGGUGGGGAUGACGUCAAGUCAUCAUGGUCCUUACGGCCUGGGCUACACACGUGCUACAAUGGUCGGUACAAAGGGUUGCCAAGCCGCGAGGUGGAGCUAAUCCCAUAAAACCGAUCGUAGUCCGGAUCGCAGUCUGCAACUCGACUGCGUGAAGUCGGAAUCGCUAGUAAUCGUGAAUCAGAAUGUCACGGUGAAUACGUUCCCGGGCCUUGUACACACCGCCUGUCACACCAUGGGAGUGGGUUGCACCAGAAGUAGCUAGUCUAACCUUCGGGAGGACGGUUACCACGGUGUGAUUCAUGACUGGGGUGAAGUCGUAACAAGGUAA